UACGGGGGGGGCAAGCGUUGUUCGGAAUUACUGGGCGUAAAGGGCUCGUAGGCGGCCAACUAAGUCAGACGUGAAAUCCCUCGGCUUAACCGGGGAACUGCGUCUGAUACUGGAUGGCUUGAGUGUGGGAGAGGAAUGCGGAAUUCCAGGUGUAGCGGUGAAAUGCGUAGAUAUCUGGAGGAACACCGGUGGCGAAGGCGGCAUUCUGGACCAUUACUGACGCUGAGGCGCGAAAGCGUGGGGAGCAAACAGG
This 253-nucleotide ribosomal RNA is filed under the name uncultured bacterium. RNAcentral describes it as "partial 16S ribosomal RNA". It matches the Rfam family "Bacterial small subunit ribosomal RNA", at positions 524 to 776 of the family's 1533-position model. The record is from RNAcentral.